CACGGCCCAGACUCCUACGGGAGGCAGCAGUGGGGAAUCUUGCGCAAUGCGCGAAAGCGUGACGCAGCAACGCCGCGUGGGGGAAGAAGGCCUUCGGGUUGUAAACCCCUUUCAGUUGGGACGAAGCUCCGCCCGUUAACAGCAGGCUGGAGUGACGGUACCUUCAGAAGAAGCCCCGGCCAACUACGUGCCAGCAGCCGCGGUAAUACGUAGGGGGCAAGCGUUGUCCGGAAUCAUUGGGCGUAAAGAGCGUGUAGGCGGCCCGAUAAGUCCGCCGUGAAAGUCCAGGGCUCAACCCUGGGAUGCCGGUGGAAACUGUCGGGCUAGAGUCCGGAAGAGGCGAGUGGAAUUCCUGGUGUAGCGGUGAAAUGCGCAGAUAUCAGGAGGAACACCGAUGGCGAAGGCAGCUCGCUGGGACGGUACUGACGCUGAGACGCGAAAGCGUGGGGAGCGAACAGGAUUAGAUACCCUGGUAGUCCACGCUGUAAACGAUGGGCACUAGGUGUGGGGGGUGUCGACUCCCCCCGCGCCGGCGCUAACGCAUUAAGUGCCCCGCCUGGGGAGUACGGCCGCAAGGCUAAAACUCAAAGGAAUUGACGGGGACCCGCACAAGCAGCGGAGCAUGUGGUUUAAUUCGACGCAACGCGAAGAACCUUACCUGGGCUUGACAUGUCGGUGGCCGUCGUGGAAACACGGCUUCCCUUCGGGGCACCGUCACAGGUGGUGCAUGGCUGUCGUCAGCUCGUGUCGUGAGAUGUUGGGUUAAGUCCCGCAACGAGCGCAACCCCCGUCGCAUGUUGCCAGCAUUCAGUUGGGGACUCAUGCGAGACUGCCGGUGACAAACCGGAGGAAGGUGGGGAUGACGUCAAGUCAUCAUGCCCCUUAUGUCCAGGGCUACACACGUGCUACAUUGGCGCGUACAGAGGGCUGCGAUACCGCGAGGUGGAGCGAAUCCCUCAAAGCGCGUCUCGGUUCGGAUUGCAGGCUGAAACCCGCCUGCAUGAAGGCGGAGUUGCUAGUAAUCGCGGAUCAGCAAUGCCGCGGUGAAUACGUUCCCGGGUCUUGUACACACCGCCCGUCACACCACGGGAAUUGGCAACGCCCGAAGCCGGUGGCCCAACCCGCAAGGGAGGGAGCCGUCGAAGGUGGGGCCAGUGACUGGGGUGAA
RNAcentral lists this ribosomal RNA (1168 nucleotides) under uncultured bacterium. RNAcentral's name for it is "bacterial SSU rRNA". It matches the Rfam family "Bacterial small subunit ribosomal RNA", at positions 325 to 1484 of the family's 1533-position model. The record is from RNAcentral.